Molecule: transfer RNA, 91 nt
Filed under: Pseudomonadota bacterium
Lineage: Bacteria; Pseudomonadati; Pseudomonadota
Description: Proteobacteria bacterium tRNA-Ser
Rfam family: tRNA
About the family: Transfer RNA (tRNA) molecules are approximately 80 nucleotides in length.
Source: RNAcentral
GGACAGAUGGGUGAGUUGGCUGAAACCACACCCCUGCUAAGGGUGCAAGUCUUUGCGGGCUUCGAGGGUUCGAAUCCCUCUCUGUCCGCCA